RNAcentral lists this long non-coding RNA (203 nucleotides) under Capsicum annuum. RNAcentral describes it as "long non-coding RNA (CANN_LNC004635)". The record is from RNAcentral. Lineage: Eukaryota; Viridiplantae; Streptophyta; Magnoliopsida; Solanales; Solanaceae.
AACUGUAAAACGUGCAGGAAAAAGUACUGAGGCCUGGCGUAUUUUUGCUCCAACUUUAAACGAUCAUAACUUCUUAUACAUAAUGAUAUUGGUGAUAUACUAUAUAUCAACGGAAAGCUCUGCGAGUCUUCUUUCCAAUGAAAUUGGUUUCAUCCAAUUUGUCUAUCGGAGCAAAAAGUUAUGGUCAAUCUACUUCAGCCUAN